GCCCCUGUAGCUCAAUUUGGAUAGAGCAGUCCCGUCCUAAGGGAAAGACUGCAGGUUCGAGUCCUGCCAGGGGCG
Molecule: transfer RNA, 75 nt
Filed under: bacterium
Lineage: Bacteria
Description: tRNA-Arg
Rfam family: tRNA
About the family: Transfer RNA (tRNA) molecules are approximately 80 nucleotides in length. Their secondary structure includes four short double-helical elements and three loops (D, anti-codon, and T loops).
Source: RNAcentral